UUUAUAAAGGUCAGAUUUUUCCCUUACUUAUUGGGAGUUUAGAAUAAGAACAAAGACUAUUUGUGUUGAUACUAACAGUGAGAUUAGUUAAAAACAAAAUUCUCAGACCUCAAUUGAAUGAGAAUCUCGUGGUGACAAAGCCACCUCGCUCAAAGCUCCUUUGAUCCUGCUGGAGUCCAAAACCUAGAAAGAGAGAUAUAAGAGAGCGAUUCAUUCUACUUUUUAAACCAUCUUCCUGCUAAACUCUUUCAACCUCUCCCUUUCUUCCAAGGCAACUCCUAAAACUGAACAGAUACCAUCCAUGGCAGCCACCGCCAAUCUCUCUCCUUUGUCUUCUUCAUCAACUAUCUCAAAACCCAUCUUCAAGAACCCUUCUUUUGCUCUGAACCCAUCUCAAAAAACUCCCUUUUCUCUCUUUCCAAAAAUCCUUCCACAACCGUCUUCUUUCCCUUGCAAACCUGUUUUUCAUACCCAGAAACCCCAGUUUAGCAUCUCUUCUAAAAACCCCAUCUCUGACUUCUUUUCAACAAACAAAAGUGACCCAGAAGACUAUUUUGUCUCUUCUUUUACUGAUGAUGACGAUAAGCCCCGUGAAGAGUGUGGUGUUGUGGGUAUCUUUGGUGACCCUGAAGCCUCACGUCUCUGCUACUUGGCCCUCCACGCGCUUCAGCAUCGUGGACAAGAAGGUGCAGGUAUUGUAGCAGUGAAUAACAAUGUUCUUCAAUCAGUUACCGGGGUCGGUUUAGUAUCUGAAGUCUUUAAUGAGUCUAAGCUUGAUCAAUUGCCUGGUGAAAUGGCUAUUGGACAUGUUAGAUAUUCAACUGCUGGUUCCUCUAUGUUAAAAAAUGUGCAGCCUUUUGUUGCUGGUUACAGGUUUGGGUCUGUUGGGGUUGCACACAACGGAAACUUGGUAAACUAUAGAGCUUUGAGAGCUAUGCUUGAAGAUAAUGGUUCAAUUUUUAAUACUAGUUCUGAUACUGAGGUUGUGCUUCAUUUGAUUGCUAUUUCAAAGGCUAGGCCCUUCUUUUUGAGGAUUGUUGAUGCUUGUGAGAAGCUUGAAGGGGCUUAUUCAAUGGUGUUUGUGACUGAGGAUAAGCUUGUUGCGGUGCGUGACCCCUUUGGAUUCAGGCCUUUGGUAAUGGGAAGGAGGAGUAAUGGUGCUGUUGUGUUUGCAUCUGAGACUUGUGCUCUUGAUUUGAUCGAGGCCACAUAUGAGAGAGAGGUGUAUCCUGGUGAAGUGUUGGUGGUGGAUAAAAAAGAUGGAGUUCAAUCACUUUGCUUGAUGCGCCACCCUGAACCAAAACAAUGUAUUUUUGAGCAUAUCUAUUUUGCUCUGCCUAAUUCUGUUGUUUUUGGAAGGUCUGUUUAUGAGUCACGACAUGUUUUUGGGGAAAUACUUGCCACUGAGGCUCCUGUCGACUGUGAUGUCGUGAUUGCAGUGCCAGAUUCAGGGGUGGUGGCUGCUCUUGGUUAUGCAUCCAAAGCAGGGGUGCCAUUUCAGCAAGGGCUGAUCAGGUCUCACUAUGUUGGAAGAACUUUUAUCGAGCCUUCGCAGAAGAUUAGGGACUUUGGCGUGAAGCUUAAGCUCUCACCAGUUCGUGGUGUAUUGGAAGGUAAGAGGGUCGUGGUAGUGGAUGACUCAAUUGUGAGAGGAACCACAUCUUCAAAAAUCGUUAGGUUGAUCAAGGAGGCAGGGGCUAAGGAGGUUCACAUGAGGAUUGCCAGCCCACCUAUCAUUGGGUCUUGCUAUUAUGGAGUGGACACACCAAGCUCUGAGGAGUUGAUAUCUAAUAGAAUGAGUGUGGAGGAGAUUAGAGAGUUCAUUGGAUGUGAUUCACUUGCUUUUCUGCCAUUUGAGAGCCUGAAAAAGAUGUUGGCUAGUGAUUCUCCAAAUUUUUGUUAUGCUUGCUUCUCUGGGAAGUACCCAGUUAUGCCAAGGGAGGUUAAAGUGAAACGGGUUGGUGAUUUCUUGGAUGAUGGGUUGAAUGGACCUAUUGAUUCCAUUGAUGGAGGUUGGGUUAAAGGUCCACCGAAUUUCAAUGUAGAGAAAGAAAUUGAUCCCCUGUAUCAACAGAGCAAGAUUUAGCUGUUUCAAUCAUGUUUGUGGUGAGUGAUAGAUAUCUUGGGUAAUUGAUCACAGUAUUUAUUUCUUCCUUGAACAAGCUAGGGUUCUACAAUCUAAAGAUUAUACAAUUUUGUCCCAUCGUUCACUUCUGCAAACUAAUCUCAUUAAUAUAUGGGUUUGUUUUCUUUGCUAAUAGACAAUGGGCAAUUAGAUGAACUUUUGAUUGAUGCAAUAUUAUACAGGGAUUUUGUUGUAUUGGAACUCUCUUAGUGACAACUUCUUUCCUUUUAGUUUUUGGACAAAAAUCAAGGAGCCUGCUUCUUGCCAAAGAUUUUUAAUGGUGGUUGUAUCAAUUAUAUUAUUUUAUUCUUCAAGAAUCCUGAACCACAAAUAGUGCUCUUGUUUAUGAGAGGAAUUGAGGAGAAUAAAUAAAUAACUGAUGCUUUUUCUUAAAUUAUAUCAACGGACUGAGCUUUUGCAGUUUUCAGUAACCCGUUAUGGCGUUGGUCUGUAGAAUGAGUGGACCGCUGUUUGCAUUUACCUUUAUAAGAAUGUUUGUGUUUGUUUAUGCCUUUUACUAGUCAUGGUUCAUUCUAUUUUCUGGGAUAGCCUUCUGUCAAUCGUGUAAUUUUAUUCCGGAAGAGGAAGGCAUGAAUAUCCCACCCUUCUAUUAAUGGUAUGGCCGUAUGGUGCAAGGACCCAUUGCAAGGUUUCUGCUGUAUUAAUGACUCAGAUUUUGUAGUGUCACGGUUAGAUGGGAUGGAUGAUGGCUGCAUCAAUGCUUGUAGUAUGUUAAUUUGGGCAAGUAGUAAUGGAAUUUCGUCUCAUUUUCAACUAUUUUUGUGUUAAAAUAGCUUGCUUUCCAAACAAAUGGCGACUAUAAAAUCUGCCCCAGGGGAGAUCUUUCUGAUUUUAGAUGAAGUGAAUUUAAUUGGUUGGUUAAUGAUUUUGCUGGUUUAGGCAAGCUUUGUGUUUUUGUUUGGCAUAAAGAACAGAAAAUCCCUUGUACCAUUCAAGAUCUAGGCCCACCAACAACCUUAAUGUCUCCUCCAAUCAGUCUGACUAGAACAGCUGGAAAAGACAACAGUUUAGUUACAUCAAAGCAAGCUC
Non-coding RNA from Durio zibethinus, 3175 nucleotides. The record is from RefSeq and is a predicted model, not a curated record. Lineage: Eukaryota; Viridiplantae; Streptophyta; Magnoliopsida; Malvales; Malvaceae.